This 544-nucleotide ribosomal RNA is filed under the name uncultured bacterium. RNAcentral describes it as "bacterial SSU rRNA". It matches the Rfam family "Bacterial small subunit ribosomal RNA", at positions 358 to 916 of the family's 1533-position model. The record is from RNAcentral.
GGAAUCUUGCGCAAUGGGCGAAAGCCUGACGCAGCAACGCCGCGUGCGGGAAGAAGGCCUUCGGGUUGUAAACCGCUUUCAGCAGGAACGAAAAUGACGGUACCUGCAGAAGAAGGUGCGGCCAACUAUGUGCCAGCAGCCGCGGUGAUACAUAGGCACCAAGCGUUGUCCGGAUUUAUUGGGCGUAAAGAGCUCGUAGGCGGUUCAGUCAGUCGGGUGUGAAAACUCUGGGCUUAACCCAGAGCCUGCACCCGAUACUGCUGUGACUAGAGUUCGGUAGGGGAGCGGGGAAUUCCUGGUGUAGCGGUGAAAUGCGCAGAUAUCAGGAGGAACACCGAUGGCGAAGGCACCGCUCUGGGCCGAAACUGACGCUGAGGAGCGAAAGCAUGGGUAGCAAACAGGAUUAGAUACCCUGGUAGUCCAUGCCGUAAACGUUGGGCACUAGGUGUGGGUUCCAAUCAACGGAAUCCGCGCCGUCGCUAACGCAUUAAGUGCCCCGCCUGGGGAGUACGGUCGCAAGACUAAAACUCAAAUGAAUUGACGG